Molecule: long non-coding RNA, 2624 nt
Organism: Triticum aestivum (bread wheat)
Lineage: Eukaryota; Viridiplantae; Streptophyta; Magnoliopsida; Poales; Poaceae
Exons: 2
Source: RefSeq, a predicted model, not a curated record
CCUCCCACAGCUCCACCCCGCCACCUGGAUCGGGAUAGCACCACCGCACCUCUGCCUCCUCCCUUUGCCCUGACCACCUCCGACGCCGCGCUCCACCCCCGACCACCUCUGCCGCCACCCUCCACCCCCGGCCACCUCCGGAACAACAGCCCCGACCUCUCCCCCCACCCCUGCAACCCCACCCGCCGCCGCCCCCUGCAACUCAGACCACCGCCGCCCCCGUUAACCCCUCGUGACGCCGCCCCCAUCAACCUCGCCCGCCGCCACCUCGGCAACCCCUCAUGCCGCCGCCCCCUAUACCUGAAGCCAGAUGCGGCCGCGGCCAUCGUCAGGCAGGGAGACGGCAACUGCCACUCCGGCCUUCUCCCACGCAGCGGUUGCAGCACAUAGCUGCCCCCUUCAUGAAAUUGACAUGCAUCCCUGCCUCCUCCCUGGAUCCUUGCUGCAGCUUUCGGCCACCUUCAAGUUCUGACGGCCGUUCGAGCUCGCCGGCGUGGAGUACAUGAGUCACCGAGCAUUGAAUUUUUGUUGUUGUUUGAAAACUGAUUAUGAUGCUGGCAUGCCUCUUCAUUUUUCCCUGCUCAAUACAUUCCUGACGCCCUGGCCGCUGCUUCCCCUAGGGCCUCUGUGUCGCUGCCAAGACGUAUCUGUGCGCCACCGUGACUCGCCCCGCUGCGCACCAAGCUCUUCUUCAUCACUACCCCCUCCAUCUUCAGUUUGGUUCUGUAUCUGCAGCUCAACUUCCUUCUAAAACUUGUUUGUUCCUUCUGGAACUUGUUUAGACCGUAUCUUACAGCAUGCUGCACUUCCUAACGUUCAUGUGACUGCUACUAGAACACUACUCUAGUUUUGUUCGCAUCUUCUUAGCAUAAUAAUUAGUAUGGUAGUUCAAGUUCUCUGGAAUUUGUUUCUUCUAUUUUUAGUAUAGAUUCUUCCUUGUAGUUCAAGUUCUUUGGGAUUUUUGUUUUGAAGACAUGGGAGAAUAAUCCUGAGUGGAAAGGUCAUAUGAAUUUGGGGCAUUUAUCUGAGUGGUAAGUUCAAGUUCUAUUUGAAUUGCAACCUAUUGGUUACAGAGUUCGUGUGGAAGAUGUUGUUUUUUUUUUUUUUGAGCUUAGAUGUUGAUUGUUGUGUGUAUGUAGGGGAGCACAAAAAAACUUCUGGCUGACCCAGGGUCGUGGAUGCUGAAAACAUUUACAGACUUGGGUGACGGAAAAAGGUGGCUCCUCCUAUGAAUUAUUGAUUCCACACUUUUGUUUGUACUUACCAAAAAUGCAUAUGCAGUACGAUGCUCUGCAGAAUUUUCAUCAAUUAUGCUGCCUAUAUUGAAAAAUGGUUAAAUAAAAGAUUUGUGACUACAUUCAGGGAGUUUUCUCUCCCUUGUUUCUCAUUUCUUUGCGUCUUCAUACCUGGUUAGAUAAUUUUCGAGACAGACUGUUGUAUGAAGCUUAUGAUCUCAGUAUACGCUGCAUCCUUUAAAAUACUUGAACUUGAUAAUUCAUUGGCUUACUAAUCGAUCGAGGAGAUACUUUUAUACCAAACAUACUGCUACAUGAAUCUUAUUAUCUAGGUAUGAAUAAGUUUAAAUCAUGUGCUAAAAAAGAAUGUGCAUGAAGCUCCAAUGCACCCAGAUAAGUUUAGAUGUAUAUAUAACAUUGCAUGUAUUUCCUACAGUUGGUAUAGUUUUCUUGGUUUCUUUGAUUGGUCCGGUACAGUUUCCAUCAUUGGAUGAAUAUACCCGUUUGGAGUUGGUACAGUUUCGAACAAGAUCCACUCUUGUUCUCCUUUUUUUGUCUAUAUUCUCAGCUGUAGCAGAGAUUCCAAAUAAAAAACAUGGCCUUUAUAUAUUCAUGCAUAUUCAGACUCACUCAUCUCACUCCUUCCAUUCAUUCGUUAGGAGGGGACAUGCUUGUCUGUUUGAAUCUACAGUGCAGCAGAAAGUCGCAGCUCCUCUUUGAAACCAACUCAAGAACAUCGAUCUGAAAGCAUACGAUGCUUUAUGCUACUACCACCGACCGAUGCCCACUGCACAACGCGCUGAUGAACCCCUACACGUCAAAAUAUUGUGUUCGAGAAGGUCAAGUGUGUUAAGUGUAUCUCAGCAAGUUCAAAUAAUUUAAAUAUGCAAAAUGUUGUGUUCUAGAAGGUCAAGUGUGUUAUGUGCAUCACCUUGCCCCCAUUGAAUCUUCUGCAUUUCUUGUGUAUUCUUCAGAAGUUCAAGUCAUCGUAAGUUUCCUCGAUUGAGCUACUCUUAUGAAAAAGUUCAACACAGAGGCAGGUCUAUGUGUGCAGACCAGGGAGGAUGACGAACCAUGCCUGGUGCCGCUACCCUCGUGAACAGAUGGAGGAAGAAGGUCACCACAGAGGCAGGGAGAAGGUCACAUAAGGUGCAGGAAGAUUGUUAGAGUUCAGGAACAAGGGGUGUGUGAUCUUUGUGCUGUUUUUGGGGUGCAAAUUAACAUGGGUAUGCAAUCUCACAUCCUGUGUAUUCUUGAGAUGGCCUCCCUUAGCCUCAAAACCAUAUUGCAUAUAAAUAUGAUAGUCCCAAUGCUAUGGUCACGUGUAAAGAAAAUUAGAUAUGCGACUACCGAUUUUUUCUUCAGGUGGUCUUCAUCACCGUUCUAUAA